CCUACGGGGUGCUGCAGUGAGGAAUAUUGGUCAAUGGACGGAAGCCUGAACCAGCCAUGCCGCGUGCAGGAAGACGGCUCUAUGAGUUGUAAACUGCUUUUGUACAAGGGUAAACCUGAAUACGUGUAUUCAGCUGAAAGUACUGUACGAAUAAGGAUCGGCUAACUCCGUGCCAGCAGCCGCGGUAAUACGGAGGAUCCAAGCGUUAUCCGGAUUUAUUGGGUUUAAAGGGUGCGUAGGCGGAUUGAUAAGUUAGAGGUGAAAUGUCCGAGCUUAACUCGGGAACUGCCUCUAAUACUGUUGAUCUAGAGAGUAGAUGCGGUAGGCGGAAUGUAUGGUGUAGCGGUGAAAUGCUUAGAGAUCAUACAGAACACCGAUUGCGAAGGCAGCUUACCAAUCUAUAUCUGACGUUGAGGCACGAAAGCGUGGGGAGCAAACAGGAUUAGAUACCCUGGUAGUC
Molecule: ribosomal RNA, 460 nt
Filed under: uncultured bacterium
Lineage: Bacteria
Description: partial 16S ribosomal RNA
Rfam family: Bacterial small subunit ribosomal RNA
Source: RNAcentral